GAUAGAUAGAUAGAUAGAUAGAUAGAUAGAUAGAUAGAUAGAUAGAUAGAUAGAUAGAUAGAUAGACAGGCAGACAGACAGACAGACAGACAGACAGACAGACAGACAGGUAGGUAGACAGACAGGCAGGCAGACAGGCAGACAGACAGACAGGCAGGCAGACAGACAGACAGGCAGGCAGGCAGACAGACAGACAGGUAGGUAGGUAGGUAGACAGACAGAAAGUAGGCAGACAGACAGACAGACAGACAGACAGUAGGCAGACAGACAGGCAGGCAGGCAGACAGACAGACAUGUAGGCAGACAGACAGACAGACAGACAGGUAGGUAGACAGACAGACAGGUAGGUAGGUAGACAGGUAGGUAGACAGAUAGGUAGGUAGGUAGACAGACAGGCAGGCAGACAGACAGACAGGCAGACAGACAGACAGACAGGUAGGCAGACAGACAGACAGGUAGGUAGGUAGACAGACAGACAGGCAGGCAGACAGACAGACAGACAGGUAGGUAGGUAGGUAGACAGACAGACAGACAGACAUGUAGGCAGACAGACAGGCAGACAGACAGACAGGUAGGUAGACAGACAGACAGGUAGGCAGACAGACAGACAGGUAGGCAGACAGACAGACAGACAAACAGACAG
This is a long non-coding RNA of Cyprinus carpio carpio, 643 nucleotides long. The record is from Ensembl. NCBI's taxonomy places the organism in Eukaryota, Metazoa, Chordata, Actinopteri, Cypriniformes, Cyprinidae.